This 452-nucleotide ribosomal RNA is filed under the name uncultured bacterium. RNAcentral's name for it is "bacterial SSU rRNA". It matches the Rfam family "Bacterial small subunit ribosomal RNA", at positions 29 to 467 of the family's 1533-position model. The record is from RNAcentral.
AGUGAACGCUGGCGGCAGGCCUAACACAUGCAAGUCGAGCGGCAGCGCGUCCGACCACCCUCGGGUGGUCGGAUGGCGGCGAGCGGCGGACGGGUGAGGAAUGCAUCGGAAUCUGCCUCGUUGUGGGGGAUAACGUAGGGAAACUUACGCUAAUACCGCAUACGACCUACGGGUGAAAGUGGGGGACCUUCGGGCCUCACGCGAUGAGAUGAGCCGAUGCCGGAUUAGCUAGUUGGCGGGGUAAAGGCCCACCAAGGCGACGAUCCGUAGCUGGUCUGAGAGGAUGAUCAGCCACACUGGAACUGAGACACGGUCCAGACUCCUACGGGAGGCAGCAGUGGGGAAUAUUGGACAAUGGGGGCAACCCUGAUCCAGCCAUGCCGCGUGUGUGAAGAAGGCCUCGGUUGUAACUGCUUUGUCUAGGAAGAAAUACUUCUGGCUAAUACCCCGGA